UGAAUAAAAGUAGUAAUUAUUUGUUCUAAAUCGACAACCCUAGUUUUCACUGCACUAGAACAAUAGUGACACGUCCUGAUGGCUACGACAACACUUAGAGAUGUUAUAAAUAUUAGGUAAAUGUGCGCCCGCGCAUAGUCUUGUGGGACAUAGUCAUCAGCGGAACAAUAUGAUAAGAUGGCGUUCUUUAUUAGCUUGGUCGCUCAUUAUCAAUGUACACAUUUGUCACAGAGUAAUAGAAAGUACAGAAGAUACUCCGACUGAACUUGAAACAUUUUAUAAUACUACAACACUAUACCCUAUUAGUAAUACUACAAACGUAACUAAGAAUGAACUAAAUUCAAACAACAAAACAAUUAAUACUGCAGCUACAGUUUGGAAAAUAGAAACUGCUUUUGCUGAAUCAAAAUUACCAAAAACGGAAAAAGAAAAUGUUACGAAUCCUGUAGAAUCUAAAGAAAAUCUAACUCAAAACGAUAUCAAGAUGGUCAAUAGCAGCAAAGAAUUUAAACCAAGUCCACAACUGGAAACAUACUUUGAUGAAAGUCAUGAGAUAUUUCCACCUCGAAAAGUAUUAGAAUCCUUUGUUCCUAUGAGAAAACCAGCUUCUGCUUUUUUAAGUUCACACCGAGAUCCUUUUAAAUCUAAUCUUUAUAAUAUACCGAGAGACAUAUUCAGGCAGAACGAUUUCCCAUACAAAAUUGAGAACAGUAUUCUUACUAAAACUAAAAAUAAUUGGCAACCAAGUAGAUACGAAUCUAGUUUUGAAUCUGGAAACCUGGAGUCAAAGCCAACUGUAGAAGUGCCUAUGAGGGUCCCAGCUGGAGGUCUUUACAAGUCGCCAGAUGCAUUUAAAAAUAAACCUAAUGAAGAUGGAGACAACGAAGAUUUCGGAUUAGAUUUCAAUGCCACGGGAGACGUGAAAGAGAACCCAGUAGACAUAAAAAAGAGAGUAAACCCAUGGAGGAAUCUACUUCGUUUAGUGACCGCAUUCAUUCCCGUAGGACUCAUAAUCUCAGCGCUCACCCCCAACGUAAUCACCAUUGAAAAUACCGGCCCUGGAAAUCAUUUUCCAUCACAUAUGUACCGUCGAUCUGACACAGUAAGAGAUCUAGCGCCCAUCAGUGAAUCCUGCCGCCGAAGACUUCUGUGCGAACUACACUCAGAGAAGAACUACGAGUAUGCGUAGUAAAAUUUUAAACAAUAAUUAUGUUUUAGCAUGUUUAAUCAGCUACAAAAAGAUAAGAUCUCAUAUUCCAUAUAAAAGUAAACAAUGCUACAAGCUGCAUUGUGGCGACCAAGAAGCCCUGUCGAAGAUUCUGCAAUGGCUUUUGACCCACGACCGUCCCAAACACGAACAUCACAGGCC
This is an RNA transcript of Galleria mellonella (greater wax moth), 1369 nucleotides long. RefSeq lists it as uncharacterized. The record is from RefSeq and is a predicted model, not a curated record. NCBI's taxonomy places the organism in Eukaryota, Metazoa, Arthropoda, Insecta, Lepidoptera, Pyralidae. The transcript is spliced from 6 exons.